This 23-nucleotide small nuclear RNA is filed under the name Arabidopsis thaliana (thale cress). Its description in RNAcentral is "snRNA_16256". The record is from RNAcentral. Lineage: Eukaryota; Viridiplantae; Streptophyta; Magnoliopsida; Brassicales; Brassicaceae.
UCUCCAAAUUAACUUUAGACAGC